Molecule: long non-coding RNA, 2503 nt
Filed under: Salmo salar (Atlantic salmon)
Lineage: Eukaryota; Metazoa; Chordata; Actinopteri; Salmoniformes; Salmonidae
Description: lncRNA (ENSSSAG00000099648.1)
Source: RNAcentral
CUUUCUCUCGACAGGCAGCCAGUCUCGGAAUUUGGACUUGAAGAGGGAGACUGUAAAGUCCAGGCACAGCUGUUCUCUUUGCUCUUAGAGUGUUUCCAGUGCUAGUGUAUGUAGUCCAUCUGUGUAUCUCACUGUGCCCAGGAUGAUAUGUCAAGCACAGGUCCUUAGCAGAUUAGAUCAAACCACAUGACAUUAACAGUAGCUGUAGAUAAUGUAAUGAAAAGUGGGAUCUUGGAGGGUGGUUGAUCAUGGAGGACAUCAGGUGGAUCCAGGUCUGGGGAAGGGAUAUGGUAGGUGUCUCAGAGCAUGGCAGAACCCCUAGAGGACAUCAGGUGGAUCCAGGUCUGGGGAAGGGAUAUGGUAGGUGUCUCAGAGCAUGGCAGAACCCCUAGAUACUGAAGAACAGGAGCAGAGUAAAAGGGAAAGGGAAAGAGACAUAGAGGCAUAGUAGGAUGCAGAAAGAAAACACACAGGUUACAGGUAGAUCCAGGCCAGGUUGAAUUGUCCCUAUAUUGCUAACACCUAUCAAAACUGAUCGGAGGAGAAUAUCUGAGGUUCCUCACCUGUAAGGGCUAAAGGACUGUAUUAUUCUUAGGUUGCUCGUUUGGUUUGGGCGUGCUCGUCUCCGGGCGUCUGUCAGAAUGCAAUGAUGACAAACGGUUGACUUGUAGAUUACUUGGAGGAAUAACAGUAUACAACAGGCAGAGUAUGUUCAGGGCUAUGGGUUGAUCACUAUGAAAGGCUCCUGGCUGUACCACUGAUCCAUAACUAUGGCUGUGGAAGAGUGAAUGUGUGGUUUCUCUAGGAGAGAGCAGAAUACAAAGUGCCAUUAAUAUCAGGAUAACAUACAUAUAAAUACAAUGGAAUUAGGUGCCAUUUUAGGCUUGACCAACUAAUAGUAACUAACUCUUUUAACAGGCCAAAAACACUGAAAAGGCACACUAACGUGCUAUAAUACUCCAAAUGGUAUGCAUACACAAAUAUAAUACAGAGUGUAAGAGCACCCUUAUAACCAAAACGCAACCCGUCAUCCACUAACAAAUGAAUGCCACGGACGGGGCGCACAUGUUACAAACCCACUGCAGAAAUAACCAAACAAAACCCUGUGUUCGCAUUUACUAAAGGAAUGAUGUGUCACACCUAGAUUGAGAAUAGCUUGAGAGAGGCCACCUUUCGUACAAACCCACCUUGUGACUUGUUUACCGACCUGUGUCUGUGCCUGUUUUGCUACACUUUUACCACUUCGGAGGGUACAUCCGUGGUCAGUGGACGGUUCUGAAAAUAAAUGAGUUGUUUGCAUCACCGAGCAGUGGUCAGGAAAUAAUUAAAUCCAAUUGUUAGACGCUACCAUCCCCUUCAAAUCAAAACCGAUGUCAAUGUUUACGCACACACGCUCCAUUCUACUUCCUGUCUGUGGCAACAUGUAAAUAAGUCACACGAUGGGCUAGUGUUAUACUGCUAGACAGAGAUCUUGGUCGAGAAGCUUGGCUAAGUAAUAUUCAGCUGUCAGAGCAGCUCACAGCUGUCAGAGCAGCUCACAGAUCACUGCACCUGUACAUAACCCAUCUGUAAAUAGCCCAUCCAACUACCUCAUCCCCAUACUGUAUUUACUUAUUUAUUGCUCCUUUGCACCCCAGUAUCUCUACUUGCACAUUCAUCUUCUGCACAUCUACCAUUGCAGUGUUGAAUUGCUAUAUUGUAAUUACUUCGCCACCAUGGCCUAUUUAUUGCCUUACCUCCCUUAUCUUACCUCAUUUGCACUCACUGUAUAUAGACUUUUUUUACUGUAUUAUUGACUAUGUUUGUUUAUUCCAUGUGUAAUUCUGUGUUGUUGUAUGUGUCGAACUGCUUUGCUUUAUAUUGGCCAGGCCGCAGUUGUAAAUGAGAACUUGUUCUCAACUAGCCUACCUGGUUAAAUAAAGGUGAAAUAAAAAAAUAAAUACAUAUUCAAGAUAUAGCACAAUUAAUUGUUUGUUUAGUCAACUGAAUCUGAUUUGUUCAGUGCUGUUCCGACUGACAGUUUUUAUAUCAAGUUUUAGAAUGAAAAGAAAGAAAGGAUACCUGUCUGAGAAGUGUUAGUUUCUUGAGGAGGGGUACAACUGGCAGUCGAAGUUGGACAGAAAGCAGCCAGUGGUCAGACAUAGUAGGGAGGAGGGGUUGGGGUCAAGUUGAGUCGAGUGGGCAGGUUGUUGUUCAAUCGGACAUCACUAGACACCGGAUUUCAUCUGGAGGAAGAGGAGACAGGAUGAGGAGAAGGAAGAGGCAGAAUCAAACAGAAGGGAGAGAUGACAGGUUUUACAUCAUACAGAUAUUUUUCAUUAGUGCUGAUUAAGAAGACACAGGGAGAGCAAGACAUUUGGACUAUUGAGAUGUUCCCCUUGUCUGUUUGUCACACACCGUUUACUGAUUGACAUGGUUGAAGUUGCAAUCGCUGCAGUGAUGGUAUUGAUUCCAGAGGAAUGGAGCUUUAAAGAAGAACGGCAACAUACUGCUUGUAAUUGAG